AGAGUUUGAUCCUGGCUCAGAUUGAACGCUGGCGGCAUGCCUUACACAUGCAAGUCGAACGGCAGCAUGAUCUAGCUUGCUAGAUUGAUGGCGAGUGGCGAACGGGUGAGUAAUACAUCGGAACGUGCCCUGUAGUGGGGGAUAACUAGUCGAAAGAUUAGCUAAUACCGCAUACGACCUGAGGGUGAAAGUGGGGGACCGCAAGGCCUCAUGCUAUAGGAGCGGCCGAUGUCUGAUUAGCUAGUUGGUGGGGUAAAGGCCCACCAAGGCGACGAUCAGUAGCUGGUCUGAGAGGACGAUCAGCCACACUGGGACUGAGACACGGCCCAGACUCCUACGGGAGGCAGCAGUGGGGAAUUUUGGACAAUGGGCGAAAGCCUGAUCCAGCAAUGCCGCGUGUGAGAAGAAGGCCUUCGGGUUGUAAAGCACUUUUGUCCGGAAAGAAAUGGCUCUGGUUAAUACCUGGGGUCGAUGACGGUACCGGAAGAAUAAGGACCGGCUAACUACGUGCCAGCAGCCGCGGUAAUAC
This 529-nucleotide ribosomal RNA is filed under the name uncultured Ralstonia sp. RNAcentral's name for it is "bacterial SSU rRNA". It matches the Rfam family "Bacterial small subunit ribosomal RNA", at positions 8 to 526 of the family's 1533-position model. Lineage: Bacteria; Pseudomonadati; Pseudomonadota; Betaproteobacteria; Burkholderiales; Burkholderiaceae. The record is from RNAcentral.